Long non-coding RNA from Leptinotarsa decemlineata (Colorado potato beetle), 725 nucleotides. The record is from RefSeq and is a predicted model, not a curated record. NCBI's taxonomy places the organism in Eukaryota, Metazoa, Arthropoda, Insecta, Coleoptera, Chrysomelidae.
GCAUCGUUUUUCUCAACAGGCGCUUUGGAGUGAACGUCGCGGCGCGAUACCGAAUGAAAACACGUGAAGUUCGCAUCGCCGUUUGGAAAGAGUGGCGAAGGAUUCGUGGCCAGUGAUAGAUGUUGGUUGAUGAUAAUUAAUUAUGACGUAAUUGAAACUUACGUUAGUUUAUAGAUUAGAUAAGAAAUAUCAACGGUAGUUUCCAGCUAAUACAUUUGUGACUUCUACUCCCAACUUCGUUCUUCAAGUGAGCUCCAAAAUCUCCGGUAAAUCCUUGGACCGAAAACUACUAGCUUCAAACUCCGGUACUCGUUGUUCACUUCUAAUUUCCUUAACUUGUAAAAUAAUUACUGUAACAAAGAUAUCAAGCACCUACAUGUUUCACCUUCCAGUGCUAAUGUUUGUCCAGAACGUUAAAUGUGAUUCGUUCGAGUGACAGUAAAACGUUUGUUCGUUUGUUCGGUGAUCAGAGUGAACUGAAAUGAUUCGCAGACAUUGAACGUGAUCACUUGACGAUUCCAACUGACCGCUCUAAAAUCGGUGCUUGAAAGUGACUGAUCGCCUCUUUUGUGUUCUUCUGUAACCUGAAACUGUUUCCCGGUAUCUAAAGACUUCGCGAUUCAUAAAAGUGACAUCGUACAUUGGAGGAGUCCUCUCGACUACGGACAAAGCGCCCGGCAUUAUGUAACUUUUUCAUACCAUCAUUAAACCAAAGACAAGAUGAA